This 327-nucleotide ribosomal RNA is filed under the name Triticum aestivum (bread wheat). RNAcentral's name for it is "partial small subunit ribosomal RNA". The record is from RNAcentral. Lineage: Eukaryota; Viridiplantae; Streptophyta; Magnoliopsida; Poales; Poaceae.
AUGCCAAACGAAAUUCUGCACUUGGUUAAAACUGAUAGACAACAUCCUGUUCUUGCUCUACUUUUAAAAGAUUAUAAUUCAAAAAAAAUCAGUACCAUUGGAAAUCUUAUGACAAAGACUGCAGUAUUCAUGUUGGGGACAUGUAUAAAUUACAAACCAAUUAGUCCCAGUUCUGAAUUUAAACCUCUGCCUUUAUUUCCAAAAUACCAGCUGCAUCUAUUGUGUGUGAUUUCUUCCUGUCUACACAUCAAACUAUCAUCUUACUUACUGUAUUAUAUACUCCCUCUAUCUCAGUAUAUAUCUCGACCAAAAAAUCUUAUACUUUGA